CGACGACGUUGAUAGGUCGGGUGUGUAAGCGCAGCGAUGCGUUGAGCUAACCGAUACUAAUGAACCGUGAGGCUUAACCUUACAACGCCGAAGGUGUUU
Molecule: ribosomal RNA, 99 nt
Filed under: Enterobacter cloacae
Lineage: Bacteria; Pseudomonadati; Pseudomonadota; Gammaproteobacteria; Enterobacterales; Enterobacteriaceae
Also listed under: 5 other names
Description: partial 23S ribosomal RNA
Rfam family: Bacterial large subunit ribosomal RNA (bases 1-81)
Source: RNAcentral